GUCCAUGUCUCCAAACUACAUAACAAAGCAAGACUCUAAAGACUUGGACCUUCGUCCUUUUGCAGAGAUAUUGGGACCACCACACACCCCUUUCUAGUGACGUCAUGAACCCCCCAUGCUCUCCCAAUCCAUCUACUGACUUAAUAGGAAGAGUGAAGAGAAGACAUCCAGUGAGGGCAUUUGACUCUGACCCUUCCGGUUCCCCAGAAUCCAUCUCACAACAAUAGAACAUUCUCUCUGGUUCCAUCCUGGGAAAUAAAUUUCAUCUGCCGGAACACAGAUUGGUGAGACUGCUCUGUUUUGUUCAACUUUAUUUACUUUGGGGUAGCACCAAUAUUACCAUCAGUCAUUUUGCAUUCAUUUUAGAUCAGGAAUUUAGUCCAGCUUCAUUGUUUUCCACCGUCUUCCCAGUUGUUGUUUCAAGUGUGUUUGGUUUAUGAUAUUUGUUGUAUGUAUUGUGUGUUAUUUGGAGUAAUAUUAUUUCUGUGAAGUUUUUAUUAGCUGUUAGCAAUUCUUUUUGUGCAUAUAAAUAUUUGGUAAUGAAUUGCAUAUUUUGGGGUACAGUCUUAUAUUUGCAUAAUAUAAUAAUAUUUUAUGAUUAACUGUCUUUUCACCACUGAUUGGGAGAAGAUUAAGAAACUUAUGAGUGAAGUACAUGGCUGACUUGGCUUAGUCCAAGCUUUUUCCAGGCCUCUGGCCCAGGAGUGCAGAGAUAUUUUGAGCCUGUCAUUACAAAAUAUAUUCUCUGCAAUUUAUGCUGCACUUUGAUUUAUAUUUUUAUUACACCAAUUCAAUUGAAUUCUGGGUAUAUAUUUUCAAAUACAUUUUCUUGCUUUAUCACCAUGAAAGCUGUCUGUGACCAGUUUAUCUGUUCAGCAACCAGAAGCCUUUUAAAAUGAUGGGUGGCCAUAUAUUCAUUGGUUUCAGUAUAUAUUUUUUUUCCACAUCAUUAUCUGUCUGAC
Molecule: long non-coding RNA, 962 nt
Organism: Erpetoichthys calabaricus (reedfish)
Lineage: Eukaryota; Metazoa; Chordata; Cladistia; Polypteriformes; Polypteridae
Exons: 3
Source: RefSeq, a predicted model, not a curated record